RNAcentral lists this long non-coding RNA (325 nucleotides) under Monomorium pharaonis (pharaoh ant). Its description in RNAcentral is "uncharacterized LOC118648797". The record is from RNAcentral. Lineage: Eukaryota; Metazoa; Arthropoda; Insecta; Hymenoptera; Formicidae.
AAAUCGAUUAUAAAAUGAGCAACGAAAAAUCAUAUUUGUAGCAAAUGUCAGAAAAAACAAUUAUAAAACAACAAAAUUUGUUGUAGAUAUCUCAUUAUGUCAACUAAAUAAACAAAAUUUAAAGUAAAAACCUAUUUCUAAUUAAAAAUGGAUAUUACUACUAACACAAAUCUUUAUCGAAAUUAUAUGAUAAUGUAAUGGAUUUUGUACAAGCUAGCGAUCAGACUAUUAGCAAUAAAUUUUAACAACGUAAACCAUAGAUAAAUCCACUGCAGCAAAAUUAAUGAUACAAACUUAUAUAUAGAAGCUGGUACUUAACAAAAAC